AACGUAGGAGACAAACGUUAUCCGGAGUUACUGGGCGUAAAGGGCGUGUAGGUGGUUUCGUAAGUCUGGCGUGAAAUUUUUCGGCUUAACCGGGAAAGGUCGUCGGAUACUGCAGAACUAGAGGACGGUAGAGGCGUGUGGAAUUCCGGGUGUAGUGGUGAAAUUCGUAGAUAUUAGGAAGAACACCGGUGGCGAAGGCGGCCCACUGGUCCGGUACUGACGCUGAGGUGCGAAAGCGUGGGGAGCAAACAGG
This 253-nucleotide ribosomal RNA is filed under the name uncultured bacterium. RNAcentral describes it as "partial 16S ribosomal RNA". It matches the Rfam family "Bacterial small subunit ribosomal RNA", at positions 524 to 776 of the family's 1533-position model. The record is from RNAcentral.